RNAcentral lists this ribosomal RNA (365 nucleotides) under Nosema granulosis. RNAcentral describes it as "SSU rRNA". It matches the Rfam family "Microsporidia small subunit ribosomal RNA", at positions 43 to 404 of the family's 1311-position model. Lineage: Eukaryota; Fungi; Microsporidia; Nosematidae. The record is from RNAcentral.
AUUACCCAUGCAUGCUAUUGAAUAUAAAGAAAAGACGAACAGCUCUGUAACUCUUAUUUUAUUUGAUGUAUUAGGACUAUAACUAUGUUAAAUUAUAGAUAACAAUAAUACAAUAAGAAUAAGAUCUAUCAGUUAGUUGUUAAGGUAAUGGCUUAACAAGACUAUGACGGAUAACGGUAUUACUUUGUAAUAUUCCGGAGAAGGAGCCUGAGAGAUUGCUACUAAGUCUAAGGAUUGCAGCAGGGGCGAAACUUGACCUAUGAUAUGAUAUUGAGGCAGUUAUGAGUAGUAUUUUUAAUUAUUGUAGUAUUGUAAGUAUAUACUACAAGAUAAAUCGGAGGGCAAAUCGAGUGCCAGCAGCCGCG